AGAAGGUGUGUCCACUAUUUUCCCAGUGGUGUAUGAAAGGCAGGCCAGCUCCUGAAGCCCAACGUUGUUCCUCAAGUUUUUUUUGCCUGGUCUGUAUCAAAAGACAGAAUCUUGAUGACUAAGACAUUUUCUUUGGUACCUACAAGAAGGAUCCAGCUCUCUACUUCUAUCAGCUCCUGGAUAACUACAAGAAAGGGAACCUCCACAUCAUUCCAGACACUCCUCUGGCUGAGGAGAGAUCAGGAGAUGACAGUGAUGUGUUGAUAGACAGAGACAUCAUGGCCUCCAUGCAGAGGAAUGUGUGGAUGGACAUAUAUUUAAGGAAGACACUAAACCAGAAAAUACCACAUUACACCCUCUUAAAAGACUUCUAAGAUUGUUGUCAUGCCUACCACAGACAUUCAGAUGAUGUGUAUUCUUGAUUGUGAUUUCAUGUUUGGAGCUGAUGAAGGAGAAAGUACCUGGAAUGUCCUAGAAUUCUCAAGACCCAGGAGAUGAACAUAUGCCUGAGAAGAAGAACUAGUGUGGAACUGUCAGCCAGGUUUUUGAUGAGUGCUCAGACUGCUUCCUGAUCCGGCACCACAUUUACUAUAGUGGACAGAUGCUCUAGUCUCUGAUGAGGAGUUGCUAGCUGUUAGGAAAAACCUGGAAUGGGCUCCACUGCAUGAGGCUUGGUCGAAGCCUUCCCCACUAAUAACAAGAACACCCAUGCCAUGGGAAAGAAGAUAUUAGAGGAAAAUUUCCCAAGAUUUGGCAUCUCUAAGGUACUUUCAUCAGACAAUGGCCCCUCCUUCAUUGUCCAGAACCCCCUCUAGCUCACUUGAAGGCCCUACAAUUGGUCAGAAAAGAUGCCUUGGAAAUGCUGAAACACAAUAAAAAACAAAAACAAAAACAAAAAAACAAAAAAACAUACUAACCAGGAACCAUCUUCGUGCCACAUAAAUUUCAAACAGAAGAUCCUGUCCGGGUCCGGUGCCACCAUUCUGGCAAACUUGAACUCAGAUCAAAAGGAUGCUCCCUGGUGCUUCUGACAAGCCCUGCUGCCGCACCUCCAGCAUGUAACCGCUUCUGGCCUGCCAUGGCCCACUGGCCUGGCACUGCACA
This 1104-nucleotide long non-coding RNA is filed under the name Mus musculus (house mouse). RNAcentral's name for it is "predicted gene, 57869". Lineage: Eukaryota; Metazoa; Chordata; Mammalia; Rodentia; Muridae. The record is from RNAcentral.